Molecule: long non-coding RNA, 2080 nt
Organism: Portunus trituberculatus (swimming crab)
Lineage: Eukaryota; Metazoa; Arthropoda; Malacostraca; Decapoda; Portunidae
Exons: 10
Source: RefSeq, a predicted model, not a curated record
CAGCAGCAGGAGGAGGAGGAGGAGGAGGAGGAGGAGGAAAAGGAGGAGUUGGAGGAGGAAUAAUGACCAUCGGAGCGAGCACGACUGGAGUAGCAGCAGGAGGAGGAGGAGGAGGAGGAGGAGGAGGAGGAGGAGGAGGAGGAGGAGGAGGAGGAGGAGGAGGAGGAGGAGGAAUAGUAAGACGAGCAAGCCUAGGGAACCAACCGACGCAGGAGAGAUGGGUUUGUCCAAAUGAUAGACACCUCGCGCUUAGAGCCAAGCUGAAGAUGGGCUGGUCAACUUCACAACCCACGCCUGUUACCCGCCAGGACUCCCUAUCUGAGGAGGAGACCAAAAUUAUCCUAGAGGUCAUCAAGAGAGCUGAGGAACUGGAGACGAAGGAGCAACUUAGGAUUGGUCGGCUGGUGGAGAAGGUGGAGACGAUGAAGCACAGAACCCAAGGCAACGGAAGCAACAACUGCAUCCUUUGUGGAGAGGGCCUUCCUGUGCUGAGAGCGGCGAGUCACGCGUGUGGGGACUGCUCCAAGCGAGUGUGUAGCAAGUGCGGGGUGGACACGAUAAGCACAACGGGGAGAAGCUGUGGCUGUGUAAGAUCUGCGCUGAGACGAGGGAGAUGUGGAAGCGAUCUGGUGCCUGGUUCUUCCGUGGCCUGCCUAAGUAUAUUCUGCCAGCCACCUCCCACUCCGCGCCAGGCUCCACCACUACUAGUAAGAGGUCCCGCGCCCCGCCUCGCCGUGCCCUAACUGUUGGCAUGAAGGCCAGUGGGAGUGAGGAUGACCACCACCACCACCACCAUCACCACCACGACGAGGAGAAUCAGAGACGACUAAGGAAGGUGGCCAGUGAAUGUGUGGGGCGACCACGACCAGCCCCCCACCACCCCUCUCACCCCCCGGCUAGCCCACACCCAAGAUCUCGCAGUAUCUCGCCUUCCCCGUUCCGGUUUGACUCCCAGGACUCGGCAGGGGGCGGCAGGGACAGCUCUGAUGACCACGCCUCAGAUAAAAGUCCCUUGUCCCCAGUCUUCUUCCUCUUCCUUUUCCUCCUCCCUGUCCUCCUCCUCCUCCUCCUCCACUUCUUCCUCUUCCUCCUCCUCAUCCUCCUCCUCCUCCUCCUCCUCCUCCUCCUUGAUAUGUAGUGUAGUAAGAAUGGAAAAAGACUAAAGACGGAAAUUUAUCUAAGAAGAAGAAGAAGAAGAAGAAGAAGAAGAAGAAGAGGAAGAAGAGGAAGGAAGGAAAAUAAAAAGAACCAAUUUUAUAUACCUCAUUAUUUGAUUUCUUUAAGACUGGCGGGUGAAAUUAAUUAGCUAUCUAGGAGGAGGAGGAGGAGGAGGAGGAGGAGGAGGAGGAGGAGGAGGAGGAGGAGGAGGAGGAGGAGGAGGAGGAGGAGGGAUGGAUAGAAGAGGGAGAUGGUGCGGAAGAGGGAAUGAGCCGUGACCCAGCGCGACCUCAGCCGCGCCCCAAGUCGGGAGAGUGGGGGGGAGGUAGGACCACUCCUCCUCUCCCCUUACUACUCCUCCUCCUCUCCCCACCAGCUCAGCCCCAGGACGGAACUUAGAAGAGACGUCGCCAUAGACAGGUCACCCUCACCACUGCUAAGGGUGGCGUGGCGAGACUCCGGCCGUGGCUCCAACUCCUCCGUUAGUGACUCACCAAAUCUGAGCCGAGAGGACGGUGAGGGCGGUGGCGCAGGGGACACGGGAAGCGGCCCUGUCACCCCUAACCCUUCCAGCGACCCCAUGCACCCUGCUGGCCCCUCCACCCCUCGCUCCCCCCUCCCCAUGAACCGUAGUAGCAGCAGCAGCAGUGGGAGCAUGGGGCAGGGGGCGGCGGCAGGGGUGGCAGCCUCUCCUACAGUCAAUGGUUUUUGGUCUCGCCGUGGGUCCGAAGCUUCAAAGGAGGAGAAAAGGCAUCCUAAGCUUAGCAGAUCUCCCGCCACCUCCAGGGAGUCCAGGGGGUCACGAGAUUCAAAGGACUCAAUGUUGUCGCGGAAUUCUUCGAGUAAGGACGAGGUGACAACUAACAGCAGCAUGGACGACGUUUUCUCCACCACCAGCCUGCAGGGACGCGACCAGCAGGGA